AGCCUGCCCAGUGACUAAGUUAAACGGCCGCGGUACCCUAACCGUGCAAAGGUAGCGCAAUCACUUGUUCUUUAAAUGAGGACUAGUAUGAACGGCAUCACGAGGGUUAUACUGUCUCCCUAUUCCAAUCAGUGAAACUGAUCUUCCCGUGAAGAAGCGGGAAUAAAUAUAUAAGACGAGAAGACCCCAUGGAGCUUUAAACUCAGUACCACCUGCUAUUUUCAAAUCCUAUUAAUCACGCAGACAUGGUAACUAGUUUUCGGUUGGGGUGACCGCGGAGCAAAACAAAACCUCCACAACGAAAGGAACUAACAACCUAAUCCAAGAGCAACAUCUCUAAGAAUUAAAAAAUUAACUUAAUUGAUCCAAUUACUUGAUCAACGAACCAAGUUACCCUGGGGAUAACAGCGCAAUCCAUUUAAAGAGCUCUUAUCGACAAAUGGGUUUACGACCUCGAUGUUGGAUCAGGGUAUCCCAGUGGCGCAGCAGCUACUAAAGGUUCGUUUGUUCAACGAUUAAA
Molecule: ribosomal RNA, 520 nt
Filed under: Microhyla ornata (ornate rice frog)
Lineage: Eukaryota; Metazoa; Chordata; Amphibia; Anura; Microhylidae
Description: partial 16S ribosomal RNA
Rfam family: Bacterial large subunit ribosomal RNA
Source: RNAcentral